This 440-nucleotide ribosomal RNA is filed under the name uncultured bacterium. RNAcentral describes it as "partial 16S ribosomal RNA". It matches the Rfam family "Bacterial small subunit ribosomal RNA", at positions 338 to 795 of the family's 1533-position model. The record is from RNAcentral.
CCUACGGGGGGCAGCAGUGGGGGAUAUUGCACAAUGGGGGAAACCCUGAUGCAGCGACGCCGCGUGGGUGAAGAAGCGCCUCGGCGCGUAAAGCCCUGUCAGCAGGGAAGAAAAUGACGGUACCUGAAGAAGAAGCCCCGGCUAACUACGUGCCAGCAGCCGCGGUAAUACGUAGGGGGCAAGCGUUAUCCGGAUUUACUGGGUGUAAAGAGGGCGCAGGCGGCGAUGCAAGCCAGGAGGGAAAGCCCGGGGCCCAACCCGGGGACUGCUCUUGGAACUGCGUGGCUAGAGUGCAGGAGGGGCAGGCGGAAUUCCUGGUGUAGCGGUGAAAUGCGUAGAGAUCAGGAGGAACACCGGUGGCGAAGGCGGCCUGCUGGACUGCAACUGACGUUGAGGCCCGAAAGCGUGGGGAGCAAACAGGAUUAGAUACCCUUGUAGUC